This 215-nucleotide non-coding RNA is filed under the name Aporhodopirellula rubra. Lineage: Bacteria; Pseudomonadati; Planctomycetota; Planctomycetia; Pirellulales; Pirellulaceae. The record is from RNAcentral.
GGAAGGGUGACCAACCGUGGGGAGGAAGUCUGCGAAGAUGACCGUUAAUCCAGCACCAAUCUCGUCGCUGGGCGUCUUCUCGCCAAAGCUGUGAGGUGACGAACAGAAACGCCGUCGAGGCAGGCGAAUCUUGAGGUGAGUGGCCCGAGGACCACAAAGCCGUUUCCGACAAGACCGUCUGUAGACGACGCACUUGUGCAGCGAAAGUUCACGUC